This 402-nucleotide ribosomal RNA is filed under the name uncultured bacterium. Its description in RNAcentral is "bacterial SSU rRNA". It matches the Rfam family "Bacterial small subunit ribosomal RNA", at positions 355 to 774 of the family's 1533-position model. The record is from RNAcentral.
UGGGGAAUAUUGGACAAUGGGGGGAACCCUGAUCCAGCAAUGCCGCGUGAGUGAAGAAGGCCUUAGGGUUGUAAAGCUCUUUCGCCCGCGAAGAUAAUGACGGUAGCGGGAGAAGAAGCCCCGGCUAACUCCGUGCCAGCAGCCGCGGUAAUACGGAGGGGGCUAGCGUUGUUCGGAAUUACUGGGCGUAAAGCGUACGUAGGCGGAUGCGCAAGUUGGGGGUGAAAUCCCGGGGCUUAACCUCGGAAUUGCCCUCAAAACUGCACGUCUUGAGACCGAGAGAGGUAAGGGGAAUUCCUAGUGUAGAGGUGAAAUUCGUAGAUAUUAGGAAGAACACCAGUGGCGAAGGCGCCUUACUGGCUCGGUACUGACGCUGAGGUACGAAAGCGUGGGGAGCAAACA